CACGUAGGAGGCAAACGUUAUCCGGAUUUACUGGGCGUAAAGCGCGUGUAGGUGGUUCUGUAAGUAGGGCGUGAAAGCUACCGGCUCAACUGGGAGAGGCCGUUCUAAACUGCAGAGCUAGAGGAUGGUAGAGGGAGGUGGAAUUCCAGGUGUAGCGGUGGAAUGCGCAGAUAUCUGGAGGAACACCAGUGGCGAAGGCGGCCUCCUGGACCAUUCCUGACACUCAGACGCGAAAGCUAGGGUAGCAAACGGGAUUAGAUACCCGCGUAGU
RNAcentral lists this ribosomal RNA (271 nucleotides) under uncultured prokaryote. Its description in RNAcentral is "partial 16S ribosomal RNA". It matches the Rfam family "Bacterial small subunit ribosomal RNA", at positions 524 to 794 of the family's 1533-position model. The record is from RNAcentral.